RNAcentral lists this transfer RNA (72 nucleotides) under Araneus ventricosus. It matches the Rfam family "tRNA". Rfam says of the family: Transfer RNA (tRNA) molecules are approximately 80 nucleotides in length. Their secondary structure includes four short double-helical elements and three loops (D, anti-codon, and T loops). The record is from Rfam by way of RNAcentral. Lineage: Eukaryota; Metazoa; Arthropoda; Arachnida; Araneae; Araneidae.
GGUUCGGUGGUCUAGGGGUAUGAUUCUCGCUUAGGGUGCGAGAGGUCCCGGGUUCAAAUCUCGGCCGAACGC